UUCAAAUGCUUCAGACUACGCAUGCGCAAACUGGCAAAAAUCUGGCGGUGAAGUUGCCAACGGUUCGUCUUGAGACUUGACUUGAGAGAGGUCCUGAUGAGAGAGUGAGUCCUGAUUUAUGCUUCCUCCUGUCUGCCCAUUGCACUGUACUCGUAACAGAUCCUGGGUGUGAUAGCUGUUUCCUAACUCCACUCCACUGAUUUGGUGUAGACGGCACUGCUGAGCUUGCCUGUGGUAUGUUAACAGUUAGACUUUUCUUUCUUAAAAAUGUUUUACAAAUUAAGUUUACUUUACCAAUAUAUCCUUUGUGUUUUUUGUCUGUUUUUUGCCCCCCUCCCAGAUUUGAAUGUGGCAGUGUAAAGGUUGCAGUUCAAAGACCUCAACUAGAGGCCAGUUGCUUAAACAUUACAGAUUAAAACAUCCCCAUUAUGGGCGCAGGCACCCAUAUCCUUGUCCAUAUAGUAGUUGUCCAUGUACAUCUAAGUCAUGGAAUGCGCUCAGGUCACAUUUGUGUAGAGUCCAUACUAGAGAAACAUCACGGCAAACAUUGACAUCGGCGACAUUCAGCUGUCGUGUUUGUGGGUUCUCUGAAGUUGCCUCUGAAAAGGAGUAUUUCACUCAUAUAAAUUUGCAUCUCAAAGCCAAUGAAACAGUCCCCUGUAUGUUCAAGGGUUGUACAUUUAGGACAAAUAUUUAUGGGACAUAAAUUUCACAUAGAAAUAGAAAGCACCUUGGUUAUUCUUACAGUGACUUUAAACCUGGAAUAGUUACAGAAAGAGACAGUUUUGAAAGCUCAAGUGUUUCAGGUGAACAUGGAGACAAUGAAGAAUCAGAAGAAGCCCAGCUUGAAGUGCAGUCUAGUUUUCAGAGAGACUGCUCAGAAAAUCUUGAGAAGAUGAUAGAAGAGAAACUUGCAGCAGUGUUGCUUAAGCUGGAAAACAUACUCCAUGUUCCCAGUAAUGCAGUUGAUGAGCUUUUACAGGACUUGCACUUCCUAAUGAGUUCUGCAUCCCAGACUACAUUAAAUGCCAUUAUUUCAGAUUUUUGUACUAAGCAUAAUCUUGCUCUUGAUGCAAAAGAAACUGAGGAAUUGGCCUCUGCCUUCUGUAUUGCUAAUCCCUUGACCAAAGCAAUUGGAGAUCAGGGCCCACUUAGCACUGCUAUUAAGCGGAAACAGUAUUUCAAAGACAAGUUC
Molecule: long non-coding RNA, 1195 nt
Organism: Lates calcarifer (barramundi perch)
Lineage: Eukaryota; Metazoa; Chordata; Actinopteri; Centropomidae
Exons: 3
Source: RefSeq, a predicted model, not a curated record